RNAcentral lists this ribosomal RNA (501 nucleotides) under uncultured bacterium. RNAcentral's name for it is "bacterial SSU rRNA". It matches the Rfam family "Bacterial small subunit ribosomal RNA", at positions 29 to 524 of the family's 1533-position model. The record is from RNAcentral.
AACGAACGCUGGCGGCGCGCCUAAUACAUGCAAGUCGAGCGAGAAGACGUAGCAAUACGUUUGUAAAGCGGCGAACGGGUGAGGAAUACAUGGGUAACCUACCCUCGAGUGGGGAAUAACUAGCCGAAAGGUUAGCUAAUACCGCGUACGCUCCUUGGACUUCGGUUCAGGGAGGAAAGCGAUACCGUGGGUAUCGCGCUCUUGGAUGGGCUCAUGUCCUAUCAGCUUGUUGGUGAGGAACGGCUCACCAAGGCUUCGACGGGUAGCUGGUCUGAGAGGACGAUCAGCCACACUGGCACUGCGACACGGGCCAGACUCCUACGGGAGGCAGCAGUAAGGAAUAUUGCGCAAUGGGCGAAAGCCUGACGCAGCGACGCCGCGUGGGGGAUGAAGGUCUUCGGAUUGUAAACCCCUUUCGGGAGGGAAGAUGGAACGAGCAAUCGUUCGGACGGUACCUCCAGAAGCAGCCACGGCUAACUUCGUGCCAGCAGCCGCAGUAAC